RNAcentral lists this ribosomal RNA (320 nucleotides) under uncultured Prevotella sp. RNAcentral describes it as "bacterial SSU rRNA". It matches the Rfam family "Bacterial small subunit ribosomal RNA", at positions 28 to 339 of the family's 1533-position model. The record is from RNAcentral. Lineage: Bacteria; Pseudomonadati; Bacteroidota; Bacteroidia; Bacteroidales; Prevotellaceae.
GAUGAACGCUAGCUACAGGCUUAACACAUGCAAGUCGAGGGGCAUCAGGGAUCUAGCUUGCUAGAUCUGCUGGCGACCGGCGCACGGGUGAGUAACGCGUAUCCAACCUUCCCCAUAGUAGAGGAUAGCCCGGUGAAAAUCGGAUUAAUACUCUAUGUUGUAUAACUAGGACAUCUGAAUUAUACCAAAGGUUUACCGCUAUGGGAUGGGGAUGCGUCUGAUUAGGUUGUUGGCGGGGUAACGGCCCACCAAGCCAUCGAUCAGUAGGGGUUCUGAGAGGAAGGUCCCCCACAUUGGAACUGAGACACGGUCCAAACUCC